This 410-nucleotide ribosomal RNA is filed under the name bacterium enrichment culture clone ALO1_GLFRUDD03HCZH9. RNAcentral's name for it is "bacterial SSU rRNA". It matches the Rfam family "Bacterial small subunit ribosomal RNA", at positions 9 to 420 of the family's 1533-position model. The record is from RNAcentral.
GAGUUGAUCAUGGCUCAGAUUGAACGCUGGCGGCAUGCCUUACACAUGCAAGUCGAACGGCAGCACGGGAGCUUGCUCCUGGUGGCGAGUGGCGAACGGGUGAGUAAUGCAUCGGAACGUAUCCUGGAGUGGGGGAUAACGUAGCGAAAGUUACGCUAAUACCGCAUAUUCUGUGAGCAGGAAAGCGGGGGACCUUCGGGCCUCGCGCUCUUGGAGCGGCCGAUGUCGGAUUAGCUAGUUGGUGAGGUAAAGGCUCACCAAGGCGACGAUCCGUAGCAGGUCUGAGAGGAUGAUCUGCCACACUGGAACUGAGACACGGUCCAGACUCCUACGGGAGGCAGCAGUGGGGAAUUUUGGACAAUGGGGGCAACCCUGAUCCAGCCAUGCCGCGUGAGUGAAGAAGGCCUCGG